RNAcentral lists this ribosomal RNA (422 nucleotides) under uncultured bacterium. RNAcentral describes it as "bacterial SSU rRNA". It matches the Rfam family "Bacterial small subunit ribosomal RNA", at positions 355 to 774 of the family's 1533-position model. The record is from RNAcentral.
UAAGGAAUAUUGGACAAUGGAGGCAACUCUGAUCCAGCCAUGCCGCGUGAAGGAAUAAGGCCCUAUGGGUUGUAAACUUCUUUUAGACGGGACAAAACCCCUUUACGUGUAAAGGGUUGAUGGUACUGUCAGAAUAAGCAUCGGCUAACUUCGUGCCAGCAGCCGCGGUAAUACGAAGGAUGCAAGCGUUAUCCGGAAUUAUUGGGUUUAAAGGGUGCGUAGGCGGACUAAUAAGUCAGUGGUGAAAGCCUGCAGCUUAACUGCAGAAUUGCCAUUGAUACUGUUAGUCUUGAGUACAGUUGAGGUAGGCGGAAUGUGUCAUGUAGCGGUGAAAUGCUUAGAUAUGACACAGAACACCGAUUGCGAAGGCAGCAUGCUAAGCUGUAACUGACGCUGAGGCACGAAAGCGUGGGGAGCAAACA